RNAcentral lists this long non-coding RNA (758 nucleotides) under Danio rerio (zebrafish). Its description in RNAcentral is "si:ch1073-109g21.1 (ENSDARG00000091948.3)". Lineage: Eukaryota; Metazoa; Chordata; Actinopteri; Cypriniformes; Danionidae. The record is from RNAcentral.
AACGUUAGUUUACGACGAAAACGCUGCAUCUUUGAGUUUUAAGUCGAUCAUGGAUACAUUUCGAGUCAUUCAUCGAGGAACCUGCACUAUUUCCCAGUCCAGUGACAGUUUUCAGGACCCUUGCUCUCUAUGGAGGAUGAGAAAGCUCCAGGAUUUCAUCUAAAAUAUCUUCAUUUGUGUGCUGAAGAUUGAAACGACACCAUGAACAGCGUACGGAUCUCACAGAUUUCAAGACUCUUGCUGUCUGUGGAGGAUGAGAGAGCUCCAGGAUUUCAUCUAAAAUAUCUUCAUCUGUGUCCUGAAGCUCUCUGAGGAUUCAAAUGACACCAGGAUAUGAGUUUUCUUGGUUCUGGGGAGCGAUGAUGAUGAUGAUGUGCAGGCGUCCCAGACUGUGGACUCUCCCCAAACAUCUCUUAUGGAUAUCAGGGGAUCGGAUAUCCUACAUUUGCCCAUGAAGGCCGAACAUUGCAGAUAGGCUCUUUCUUAAUUUCCUUUAAAUUCUUCUUUGUGAUGAAUGUGGGUCAUAUUUCUGGCGUUUCACGUCCUCUCCGGACACAUAAAGUAGAUUUGAGUUGAAACCCGACGCUGGACUCCUGAGGAACCCGAUAUUGAUGAGUUCAACUGGACGCAUCAGUCCUGAUUACAGGCUCCAGGCCUCUCAUUACAGCUCGUGUGAACUCAGGCUAUAGAAUAUAUGGGAUAUUUAUAAACUUAUUAUCUUGUAUGUAUAAUAAACUUCAUAUCUGAGUUACAAAACC